AUGCUUUUUGAUCAGGCGUGCUCAUUAUUGGCGGUGCAGUUGUGUUGUGCUGCAGUCAUGUGCCGUACUGGAAUCGGAAUCGAUUGCUGCCUUGGCAAAACAGGCAAUCAUAUACAUGGUCUGAGAGUGUUUUUCAGAAUCUUCAGAAUCAAAAUACUGGCAGUUUGGCCUUGCCCAACAGGGAACAUCACCGCUGUCCUCGCAGCUUGCCGUCACCACUCCCGCUUCAUGGACGGCGUGGUGGACGCCUACAAGGUGCCGUGCCUCUACAAGGGAUUCGGCUGCGCCAUGGACGACAUCCCCUACCACUCGGCCGCCGACCACAAGGCCAGCUGCAAGCACGCGCCCUGCUACUGCUUCGACUGCCGGUUCGUGGGCUCGCCGGUGAAGCUCGUGCGCCACCUCGCGUCGCCGUCCGGCGCGCACGCGUGGCCCGUGGAAAAGAUCAAGUACGAGGUGCCCCAGCCGUUCGUCGUGCCGGCAUCGUCCGAGGACCAGCGCCGCCUGCUGGUCGCGGAGGACGGCCGCGUGUUCCUCCUGGCCGUGGGCGCCGGCAGGGAGCCGGCCGCGGCCGGCCGCCGCCCCGUCACCGUCGUGUGCGUCAGGGGCAACGCCGACACCAAGCCCCUGUACACGGGCGUGCUCUGGGUGGACGGCCCUCCGGCGCCCCCGCGCCAGCCGCUCGGGUGCAGCUUGAGGCUGAAGGCGACGGUGGCGAGCUGCUCCGUCCCCGGCGCCGUGGACAUGGAGCAGGGCUGGCUCCACGCCCAUGUCAGCCCCAACAUGCUGCACGUACGGAGAGUCCGGCGAGCUUCAUCUGCGCCUUUGUCUCACCAAGCUCUCCUGAAUUAG
RNAcentral lists this ribosomal RNA (852 nucleotides) under Triticum aestivum (bread wheat). Its description in RNAcentral is "partial small subunit ribosomal RNA". Lineage: Eukaryota; Viridiplantae; Streptophyta; Magnoliopsida; Poales; Poaceae. The record is from RNAcentral.